Molecule: non-coding RNA, 64 nt
Organism: Dipodomys ordii (Ord's kangaroo rat)
Lineage: Eukaryota; Metazoa; Chordata; Mammalia; Rodentia; Heteromyidae
Source: Rfam
GGUGGCUCAGAGGUAGAGUGCUUGCCUUGCAUGCAGGGGGCCCUGGGUUUGAUUCUCAGCACCA